AGUGAACGCUGGCGGUAGGCCCAACACAUGCAAGUCGAACGGCAGCACAGGAGAGCUUGCUCUCUGGGUGGCGAGUGGCGGACGGGUGAGGAAUACAUCGGAAUCUACUCUGUCGUGGGGGAUAACGUAGGGAAACUUACGCUAAUACCGCAUACGACCUACGGGUGAAAGCAGGGGAUCUUCGGACCUUGCGCGAUUGAAUGAGCCGAUGUCGGAUUAGCUAGUUGGCGGGGUAAAGGCCCACCAAGGCGACGAUCCGUAGCUGGUCUGAGAGGAAGAUCAGCCACACUGGAACUGAGACACGGUCCAGACUCCUACGGGAGGCAGCAGUGGGGAAUAUUGGACAAUGGGCGCAAGCCUGAUCCAGCCAUACCGCGUGGAUGAAGAAGGCCUUCGGGUUGUAAAGCCCUUUUGUUGGGAAAGAAAUCCAGCUGGCUAAUACCCGGUUGGGAUGACGGUACCCAAAGAAUAAGCACCGGCUAACUUCGUGCCAGCCGCCGCAGUAA
RNAcentral lists this ribosomal RNA (506 nucleotides) under uncultured bacterium. RNAcentral's name for it is "partial 16S ribosomal RNA". It matches the Rfam family "Bacterial small subunit ribosomal RNA", at positions 29 to 523 of the family's 1533-position model. The record is from RNAcentral.